CUGCAGUCUGCAACUCGACUGCACGAAGCUGGAAUCGCUAGUAAUCGCGGAUCAGCACGCCGCGGUGAAUACGUUCCCGGGCCUUGUACACACUGCCCGUCACACCAUGAGAGUCGGGAACACCCGAAGUCCGUAGCCUAACCGCAAGGGGGGCGCGGCCGAAGGUGGGUUCGAUAAUUGGGGUGAAGUCGUAACAAGGUAGC
This 203-nucleotide ribosomal RNA is filed under the name uncultured bacterium. RNAcentral describes it as "partial 16S ribosomal RNA". It matches the Rfam family "Bacterial small subunit ribosomal RNA", at positions 1298 to 1500 of the family's 1533-position model. The record is from RNAcentral.